CGGGACACGUGGUAUCCUGUCUGAAUAUGGGGGGACCAUCCUCCAAGGCUAAAUACUCCUGACUGACCGAUAGUGAACCAGUACCGUGAGGGAAAGGCGAAAAGAACCCCGGCGAGGGGAGUGAAAAAGAACCUGAAACCGUGUACGUACAAGCAGUGGGAGCACGCUUAGGCGUGUGACUGCGUACCUUUUGUAUAAUGGGUCAGCGACUUAUAUUCUGUAGCAAGGUUAACCGAAUAGGGGAGCCGAAGGGAAACCGAGUCUUAACUGGGCGUUAAGUUGCAGGGUAUAGACCCGAAACCCGGUGAUCUAGCCAUGGGCAGGUUGAAGGUUGGGUAACACUAACUGGAGGACCGAACCGACUAAUGUUGAAAAAUUAGCGGAUGACUUGUGGCUGGGGGUGAAAGGCCAAUCAAACCGGGAGAUAGCUGGUUCUCCCCGAAAGCUAUUUAGGUAGCGCCUCGUGAAUUCAUCUCCGGGGGUAGAGCACUGUUUCGGCAAGGGGGUCAUCCCGACUUACCAACCCGAUGCAAACUGCGAAUACCGGAGAAUGUUAUCACGGGAGACACACGGCGGGUGCUAACGUCCGUCGUGAAGAGGGAAACAACCCAGACCGCCAGCUAAGGUCCCAAAGUCAUGGUUAAGUGGGAAACGAUGUGGGAAGGCCCAGACAGCCAGGAUGUUGGCUUAGAAGCAGCCAUCAUUUAAAGAAAGCGUAAUAGCUCACUGGUCGAGUCGGCCUGCGCGGAAGAUGUAACGGGGCUAAACCAUGCACCGAAGCUGCGGCAGCGACGCUGAUGCGUUGUUGGGUAGGGGAGCGUUCUGUAAGCCUGUGAAGGUGUGCUGUGAGGCAUGCUGGAGGUAUCAGAAGUGCGAAUGCUGACAUAAGUAACGAUAAAGCGGGUGAAAAGCCCGCUCGCCGGAAGACCAAGGGUUCCUGUCCAACGUUAAUCGGGGCAGGGUGAGUCGACCCCUAAGGCGAGGCCGAAAGGCGUAGUCGAUGGGAAACAGGUUAAUAUUCCUGUACUUGGUGUUACUGCGAAGGGGGGACGGAGAAGGCUAUGUUGGCCGGGCGACGGUUGUCCCGGUUUAAGCGUGUAGGCUGGUUUUCCAGGCAAAUCCGGAAAAUCAAGGCUGAGGCGUGAUGACGAGGCACUACGGUGCUGAAGCAACAAAUGCCCUGCUUCCAGGAAAAGCCUCUAAGCAUCAGGUAACAUCAAAUCGUACCCCAAACCGACACAGGUGGUCAGGUAGAGAAUACCAAGGCGCUUGAGAGAACUCGGGUGAAGGAACUAGGCAAAAUGGUGCCGUAACUUCGGGAGAAGGCACGCUGAUAUGUAGGUGAAGCGACUUGCUCGUGGAGCUGAAAUCAGUCGAAGAUACCAGCUGGCUGCAACUGUUUAUUAAAAACACAGCACUGUGCAAACACGAAAGUGGACGUAUACGGUGUGACGCCUGCCCGGUGCCGGAAGGUUAAUUGAUGGGGUCAGCGCAAGCGAAGCUCUUGAUCGAAGCCCCGGUAAACGGCGGCCGUAACUAUAACGGUCCUAAGGUAGCGAAAUUCCUUGUCGGGUAAGUUCCGACCUGCACGAAUGGCGUAAUGAUGGCCAGGCUGUCUCCACCCGAGACUCAGUGAAAUUGAACUCGCUGUGAAGAUGCAGUGUACCCGCGGCAAGACGGAAAGACCCCGUGAACCUUUACUAUAGCUUGACACUGAACAUUGAGCCUUGAUGUGUAGGAUAGGUGGGAGGCUUUGAAGUGUGGACGCCAGUCUGCAUGGAGCCGGCCUUGAAAUACCACCCUUUAAUGUUUGAUGUUCUAACGUUGACCCGUGAUCCGGGUUGCGGACAGUGUCUGGUGGGUAGUUUGACUGGGGCGGUCUCCUCCUAAAGAGUAACGGAGGAGCACGAAGGUUGGCUAAUCCUGGUCGGACAUCAGGAGGUUAGUGCAAUGGCAUAAGCCAGCUUGACUGCGAGCGUGACGGCGCGAGCAGGUGCGAAAGCAGGUCAUAGUGAUCCGGUGGUUCUGAAUGGAAGGGCCAUCGCUCAACGGAUAAAAGGUACUCCGGGGAUAACAGGCUGAUACCGCCCAAGAGUUCAUAUCGACGGCGGUGUUUGGCACCUCGAUGUCGGCUCAUCACAUCCUGGGGCUGAAGUAGGUCCCAAGGGUAUGGCUGUUCGCCAUUUAAAGUGGU
RNAcentral lists this ribosomal RNA (2194 nucleotides) under Escherichia coli. RNAcentral's name for it is "partial 23S ribosomal RNA". It matches the Rfam family "Bacterial large subunit ribosomal RNA", at positions 418 to 2597 of the family's 2925-position model. Lineage: Bacteria; Pseudomonadati; Pseudomonadota; Gammaproteobacteria; Enterobacterales; Enterobacteriaceae. The record is from RNAcentral.